RNAcentral lists this non-coding RNA (46 nucleotides) under Schistosoma curassoni. The record is from RNAcentral. Lineage: Eukaryota; Metazoa; Platyhelminthes; Trematoda; Strigeidida; Schistosomatidae.
GCACUGCUGAGGAGUCUCAUGCUGGGACGAAACGGCCGUCCUGUGC